Regulatory RNA element from Cetobacterium somerae ATCC BAA-474, 172 nucleotides. It matches the Rfam family "Lysine riboswitch aptamer". Rfam says of the family: Riboswitches are metabolite binding domains within certain messenger RNAs that serve as precision sensors for their corresponding targets. Allosteric rearrangement of mRNA structure is mediated by ligand binding, and this results in modulation of gene expression. The record is from Rfam. Lineage: Bacteria; Fusobacteriati; Fusobacteriota; Fusobacteriia; Fusobacteriales; Fusobacteriaceae.
AUACAAGGUAGAGGUUGCAAAGGACAAGAGUAGAUUGGUGGAGCUAGACAAGGCUUUGAAGUCAAUUGAAAGGGGAGUUUGCCGAAAUAAAAAUUCGUCAAAAUUUUUAUUGGGGAUAUAGAGAAUAUCUAUAUAACUGUCAUUAGGUAUCUAAUGUUGUGCUAUCCAAAGU